AUGACUCAACCGAAAAAUAUGGGGGGAAUAGGGUUUAAAGAUUUUGAGAUCUUCAACCUAGCCAUGCUGGCGAAGCAGGCAUGGAGACUUUUACAAGAUCAGGAAUCUCUGAGUAGCCAAAUUUUGAGAGUUGUGUAUUACCCAAGUGGGGAUCUGCUAGAAGUUGAACUGGGGUCAUCACCAAGUCAAGUAUGGCGUGCUAUACUUGAGGGAAGAGAUACCCUCAAGCUCGGGCUAGUGAGGCGGAUUGGUACAGGAGAGACAACACGGAUCUAG
RNAcentral lists this ribosomal RNA (276 nucleotides) under Triticum aestivum (bread wheat). Its description in RNAcentral is "partial small subunit ribosomal RNA". Lineage: Eukaryota; Viridiplantae; Streptophyta; Magnoliopsida; Poales; Poaceae. The record is from RNAcentral.